Long non-coding RNA from Frieseomelitta varia, 540 nucleotides. RefSeq lists it as uncharacterized. Lineage: Eukaryota; Metazoa; Arthropoda; Insecta; Hymenoptera; Apidae. The record is from RefSeq and is a predicted model, not a curated record. The transcript has 3 exons.
GCGAGGAAAUCGCAAAUGCCUGCAGGUUUCCUUGGCAAGCUUGCUCGAAACCUGCAGCCUGUUUGCGACUGUAUCGACCAGCGACGCGCUUGCAAAUCCUCGUAUUAUAUUAUAUUAUAUCAUACUACAUAUAUAUAUAUAUAUAUAUGUAUGUAUAUGUAUAAUAGUUCACACGUAUCGACCAGCGAUUAAUUGCGUAUGUAUUUGUGACCACUCACGGUUACAAGGCAAACCGAUCGAAUUAAGCACAGUAUCACAAAGCUAUCCCCCCGGGGGGAGGGGGGGGGGGAUUUUAUACUAAAUUACAGGUGUGUGUUUCAGGAUGUGUUAGUCAUUUACAGCGACAACAUGGUUGCGUUACACUUAUUUGGCUUGAGACGAGGGGGGAGGUAUCCGUUAUCCUAAGAUCACCGACUUUGGAACGACAAUCGCGUAGUUUUCCACUUCAAUUUAAUAGAAAAUGACUCCCAGUCUCCUAGUUCGUUUACAAUUGGUAAAAGUAUACAAAGCGUGGAAUUGCUCAUAGAGUCGUGGGUAUAA